This 826-nucleotide unclassified non-coding RNA is filed under the name Hevea brasiliensis (rubber tree). The record is from RNAcentral. Lineage: Eukaryota; Viridiplantae; Streptophyta; Magnoliopsida; Malpighiales; Euphorbiaceae.
CGAACCAUUGAUAAGAAAAUGGCCACGGUCCUUCUUUGCGCAGCGAGGAUUGCCGCUUCCUCCAUGGCGAAGGCGGUGAUUGUGGCGAGGGCGGAGGCUGAAAGGAGGGUACGGGAAGCGGCUGUUUGUAGGAAGAGAGCUAGGGAGGCGUUGGAGCACGUGGCGUUGGUGGCGAAGAGGAAGGACGUAGAAUCCGUGGAGGUUUCUGGAUCUGGGAAUUUCGGGAAACGGGAGAGAGAGAGCGUCGAUGGAACGUCACCUAUGAAUGUGGAGCGAAUUACUUCUGUUGAAAUUGCCAAGAACAAUGGAAAUUCCCAUAAUAAUUCAGGUCAUUUUGAAAAGGGUCUUGAUAAUGGAAGUAAUGCAGAGAAGAAGCAGAACUUGAACACUAAUCAUGGUAACGUUAGUGUUAAAGAAGAGAAUUUCGAUUCACUUGUUCAUAAGAGCUCGUAAAUAUUCUUCACUGGUCCACCCAAUAGCCAAAGCUAAUAUCCUAGAUUCAUAGGUCGCGAAAAUAUUGAAAUUCUCUGUGAUACAAAGGAAAGCUUCUGUGAGAUGAUUUUGCCAAAUAAGUAUAAAUUUCUCUCAGCGCAUUGUGUUGUUUCUACACAUAUAUAAUGCCUGUUGUUGUGUAUAAUCGAUUAGGGUGCAUGUUCAUGUAUUCUGAUUAGACUCUGGUUAGCCAAGUUUAAUUCUUUACUAGCUUCCUUUUGUACCUUUUUACCUAGUGUGAUUACACAUCCAGUGGUAAUAAAACAUAUUAUUGGAACUUCCCUUUUCCUUUGCAUACUGUCAUGAGUGAAGAUAGUCUAUCCGGAAGUAGGUA